UUUCCGUAGGUGAACCUGCGGAAGGAUCAUUCAUAAUAAAGUGUUUUAUGGCACUUUUUAAAAAUCCAUAUCCACCUUGUGUGCAAUGUUAGAUCUCGUCAAUCUUGGCGAGAUUUUUAUACAUCAACUCAUUCUUUAACUAAUUUGUCUGAAAAAUAUUAUGGAUACUUAAUUCAAAAUACGACUUUCAACAACGGAUCUCUUGGCUCUC
RNAcentral lists this unclassified non-coding RNA (211 nucleotides) under plant metagenome. Its description in RNAcentral is "partial contains small subunit ribosomal RNA, internal transcribed spacer 1, and 5.8S ribosomal RNA". The record is from RNAcentral.